GAUGAACGCUGGCGGCGUGCCUAAUACAUGCAAGUCGAGCGAACAGACGAGGAGCUUGCUCCUCUGACGUUAGCGGCGGACGGGUGAGUAACACGUGGAUAACCUACCUAUAAGACUGGGAUAACUUCGGGAAACCGGAGCUAAUACCGGAUAAUAUAUUGAACCGCAUGGUUCAAUAGUGAAAGACGGUUUUGCUGUCACUUAUAGAUGGAUCCGCGCCGCAUUAGCUAGUUGGUAAGGUAACGGCUUACCAAGGCAACGAUGUGUAGCCGACCUGAGAGGGUGAUCGGCCACACUGGAACUGAGACACGGUCCAGACUCCUACGGGAGGCAGCAGUAGGGAAUCUUCCGCAAUGGGCGAAAGCUUGACGGAGCAACGCCGCGUGAGUGAUGAAGGUCUUCGGAUCGUAAAACUCUGCUAUUAGGGAAGAACAAAUGUGUAAGUAACUAUGCACGUCUUGACGGUACCUAAUCAGAAAGCCACGGCUAACUACGUG
RNAcentral lists this ribosomal RNA (497 nucleotides) under uncultured bacterium. RNAcentral's name for it is "partial 16S ribosomal RNA". It matches the Rfam family "Bacterial small subunit ribosomal RNA", at positions 28 to 507 of the family's 1533-position model. The record is from RNAcentral.